This 522-nucleotide ribosomal RNA is filed under the name uncultured microorganism. Its description in RNAcentral is "bacterial SSU rRNA". It matches the Rfam family "Bacterial small subunit ribosomal RNA", at positions 9 to 521 of the family's 1533-position model. The record is from RNAcentral.
GAGUUUGAUCAUGGCUCAGAUUGAACGCUGGCGGUAUGCUUAACACAUGCAAGUCGAACGGUAACAGGAGAGAGCUUGCUCUUUUGCUGACGAGUGGCGGACGGGUGAGUAAUGCGUAGGAAUCUGCCUAGUAGUGGGGGACAACGUGUGGAAACGCACGCUAAUACCGCAUACGCCCUACGGGGGAAAGCGGGGAGUCUUCGGACCUCGCGCUAUUAGAUGAGCCUACGUUAGAUUAGCUAGUUGGUGGGUAAAGGCCUACCAAGGCGACGAUCUAUAGCUGGUCUGAGAGGAUGAUCAGCCACACUGGGACUGAGACACGGCCCAGACUCCUACGGGAGGCAGCAGUGGGGAAUAUUGGACAAUGGGCGAAAGCCUGAUCCAGCAAUACCGCGUGUGUGAAGAAGGCCUGAGGGUUGUAAAGCACUUUCAAUUGUGAAGAAAUAUUUAAGGUUAAUAACCUUAAAUUUUGACGUUAACUUUAGAAGAAGCACCGGCUAACUCCGUGCCAGCAGCCGCGGU